RNAcentral lists this ribosomal RNA (775 nucleotides) under uncultured Actinomycetes bacterium. RNAcentral's name for it is "bacterial SSU rRNA". It matches the Rfam family "Bacterial small subunit ribosomal RNA", at positions 565 to 1340 of the family's 1533-position model. The record is from RNAcentral. Lineage: Bacteria; Bacillati; Actinomycetota; Actinomycetes.
GAGCUCGUAGGCGGUUUGUCGCGUCGUCUGUGAAAACCCGUCGCUCAACGAUGGGCUUGCAGGCGAUACGGGCAGACUUGAGUAUUGCAGGGGAGACUGGAAUUCCUGGUGUAGCGGUGAAAUGCGCAGAUAUCAGGAGGAACACCGGUGGCGAAGGCGGGUCUCUGGGCAAAUACUGACGCUGAGGAGCGAAAGCAUGGGUAGCAAACAGGAUUAGAUACCCUGGUAGUCCAUGCCGUAAACGGUGGGCGCUAGGUGUGGGUUUCCUUCCACGGGAUCCGUGCCGUAGCUAACGCAUUAAGCGCCCCGCCUGGGGAGUACGGCCGCAAGGCUAAAACUCAAAGGAAUUGACGGGGGCCUGCACAAGCGGCGGAGCAUGUGGUUUAAUUGGACGCAACGCCAAGAACCUUACCUGGGCUUGACAUGUUCCUGACCGGCCUGGAAACAGGUCUUCCCUUCGGGGCAGGAUCACAGGUGGUGCAUGGCUGUCGUCAGCUCGUGUCGUGAGAUGUUGGGUUAAGUCCCGCAACGAGCGCAACCCCCGUCGCAUGUUGCCAGCAUUUAGUUGGGGACUCAUGCGAGACUGCCGGUGACAAACCGGAGGAAGGUGGGGAUGACGUCAAGUCAUCAUGCCCCUUAUGUCCAGGGCUACACACGUGCUACAUUGGCGCGUACAGAGGGUUGCGAUACCGCGAGGUGGAGCGAAUCCCUUAAAGCGCGUCUCGGUUCGGAUAGCAGGCUGAAACUCGCCUGCUUGAGGGCGGAGUUGCUAGUA